Small nuclear RNA from Phodopus roborovskii (desert hamster), 104 nucleotides. Lineage: Eukaryota; Metazoa; Chordata; Mammalia; Rodentia; Cricetidae. The record is from RefSeq and is a predicted model, not a curated record.
UUACUUCAAGUGGUAAAUACAUUAAAACUGGGAUACUCCAGAGAAGACCAGAAUGGCUUCUGUGCAAGAUGAAAUGAAAAUUUAUAAAGCAUCUUCAUUUUCCU